GACGACGCUGGCGGCGUGCUUAACACAUGCAAGUCGAACGGUGACGAGGAGCUUGCUCCUCUGAUCAGUGGCGAACGGGUGAGUAACACGUGAGCAACCUGCCCCAGACUCUGGGAUAACAGUUGGAAACAGCUGCUAAUACCGGAUACGAGACGGAGAGGCAUCUCUACCGUCUGGAAAGUUUUUCGGUCUGGGAUGGACUCGCGGCCUAUCAGCUAGUUGGUGAGGUAAUGGCUCACCAAGGCGACGACGGGUAGCCGGCCUGAGAGGGCGACCGGCCACACUGGGACUGAGACACGGCCCAGACUCCUACGGGAGGCAGCAGUGGGGAAUAUUGCACAAUGGGCGAAAGCCUGAUGCAGCGACGCCGCGUGAGGGAUGACGGCCUUCGGGUUGUAAACCUCUUUCAGCAGGGAAGAAGCGCAAGUGACGGUACCUGCAGAAGAAGCACCGGCUAACUACGUG
RNAcentral lists this ribosomal RNA (465 nucleotides) under uncultured bacterium. RNAcentral describes it as "bacterial SSU rRNA". It matches the Rfam family "Bacterial small subunit ribosomal RNA", at positions 33 to 507 of the family's 1533-position model. The record is from RNAcentral.